Molecule: long non-coding RNA, 890 nt
Filed under: Bemisia tabaci
Lineage: Eukaryota; Metazoa; Arthropoda; Insecta; Hemiptera; Aleyrodidae
Description: lncRNA ENSSSA1UGG011339
Source: RNAcentral
UCUGUUUCUGGUUCCAAAUGGCAACCAUCGCUGACUUGAAAAAACAAGAAAAAGAGAGAAAGAGGAAAGAAAAGCAGAAGAAAGAUAAACAGAAAAAAGUGAAAAUAUUACUUUCAAAACCUGUUGAAAAUAGGGAAGUAUUGGACUCCGGAAAUUCCAAAGAGCUUGAAAAUCUACUCGAAAGUCUGCUGAGGCCUGCAAAAUUGGAGACAUUCAAAUAUUCCUGGUCUGAACUAAAGAAAAUACCAAAAGAUAAAAGACGGGAGAGCAGAAAAGGAUUGAUGAUUGGUCUUGAUAAAGAAAAGUAUAUGAAGGCGAAAAAGAUACGAGACAACUUUGUAUUUGGUACUAACAGCAUUAUUAGAAGUUUAGAAAGAGGGAACAUUCUAUGUGGAAUAGUGUCUCCAGAUUUUGAUCCUGCAAUGGUUACGGAUCACAUUAUUUCAGUCUCAAAACAAAGAGGAAUUCCAGUGGUUCUUCUCCCUGAGCUGAAUUCUAUUUGUAAACGUUGUCUAGGAUUCCCUGUUAAAGCCCUAGGAUUAAAGAAAAGCGAUUCAAUUAUAAGUGACGAUUGUUACACAAAUUUAAAAAAUCAAAUUCUGGCUUUAAGUGAUCUCCCUGAUGAAGACUUGAAGCGAAUUAAUUCUUCCAAGUCACCUCCUUCUCAUUCAAAAUCGAAGUUGCGACAUCCAAAACCCAUCACACCCACUCCAAGAGACCUAAUUCUAAAAAGGCCAAACAAAAGCAGCAGAUGUUUUUUGCCAGGAGGCUCCUCAGUAGAAGUCAGCAUGGAUAACUCAGAUUUCAUUUCAUUUGGAACUACCACAGCAAUACAGCGCAGAGCAAGUUUGAAACUGAUAUUUCUUUUGAAAUGUCUAUGCCAAGACUAG